CAUGUAGUUCAGUUGGUUAGAGCGUCAGAUUGUGGUUCUGAAUGUCGUGGGUUCGAGUCCCAUCUUC
This 67-nucleotide transfer RNA is filed under the name Alloprevotella tannerae. It matches the Rfam family "tRNA", at positions 5 to 66 of the family's 71-position model. From Rfam's summary of the family: Transfer RNA (tRNA) molecules are approximately 80 nucleotides in length. Lineage: Bacteria; Pseudomonadati; Bacteroidota; Bacteroidia; Bacteroidales; Prevotellaceae. The record is from RNAcentral.